Molecule: non-coding RNA, 2955 nt
Organism: Ectocarpus siliculosus
Lineage: Eukaryota; Phaeophyceae; Ectocarpales; Ectocarpaceae
Source: Rfam
GUUCAAGGAACUAAGGGCUUACGGGGGAUACCUUGGUAUUCAGAGGCGAAGAAGGACGUGGUUACCGACGAAACGCUUCGGGAAGCUGGAAACAAGCUAUGAUCCGGAGAUAUCCGAAUGAGGAAACUUUUUAAACUAUUUGCUGAAUUCAUAGGCAAAAAAGAGCGAACCUAGCGAAUUGAAACAUCUUAGUAGCUAGAGGAAAAGAAAGUAAAAACGAUUCCCUUAGUAGCGGCGAGCGGACCGGGAAAAAGCCUAAACCUUCUUAAUAAAUUUAUUUUUAUAAAAAAGGGGUUGUGGGAAGUAUUGAAAUAAAGUGCAAAGGUUAGAUGAAUUAGUUGGAAUGCUAAAUCCUAGAAAGUGAAAAUCUUGUAAUCGAAAACCUUAAAACCUUUAGUUUGAUUAGAUACUCUCCCGAGUAGCAUGGGGCACGUGAAAUCCCGUGUGAAUCUGCGAGGACCACCUCGUAAGGCUAAAUACUACUGAAUGACCGAUAGUGUAAUAGUACCGUGAGGGAAAGGUGAAAAGAACCCCGGGAGGGGAGUGAAAAGAACAUGAAACCGUAAGCUUACAAGCAGCAGAAGGAUGACUUUUAACGUCUGCCUGCGUGCCUGUUGAAGAAUGAGCCGGCGACUUGUAGUUGGUGGCAAGGUUAAGGUAAAAAAUACUGGAGCCAUAGUGAAAACGAGUCUUAAUAGGGCGUCGCAAUGUCACCAAUUACGGACCCGAACCCGGAUGAUCUAACCAUGGCCAGGAUGAAGCUCAGGUAAUACUAAGUGGAGGUCCGAACUGACUGAUGUUGAAAAAUCAGCAGAUGAGCUGUGGUUAGGGGUGAAAUGCCAAUCGAAUUCGGAGCUAGCUGGUUCUCCCCGAAAUGUGUUUAGGCGCAGCGGUUAGUGUUAUAGCGUAGGGGUAAAGCACUGUCUCGGUGCGGGCUGGUAAUUCGGUACCAAAUCGAUGCAAACUCUGAAUACUACGUGUAUAGCUAACCAGUAAGACUAUGGGGGAUAAGCUCCAUUGUCAAGAGGGAAACAGCCCAGAUCACCAGCUAAGGCCCCUAAAUAAUUACUAAGUGGUAAAGGAGGUGGGAAGACUUAAACAACCAGGAGGUUUGCUUAGAAGCAGCAAUCCUUUAAAGAGUGCGUAAUAGCUCACUGGUCGAGUAAUCCUGCGCCGAAAAUGAACGGGACUAAGUAAUUUGCCGAAGCUGUGAGAUUAAAAAACUAAUAAUAAUUAGAUAAUCGGUAGGGGAGCGUUCUGUUAUAGAUUGAAGCGUUAGCGUAAGCGGGCGUGGACGAAGCAGAAGUGAGAAUGUCGGCUUGAGUAGCGAAAACAUGGGUGAGAAUCCGAUGCCCUGAAAACCUAAGGUUUCCUCCGGAAGGCUCGUCCGCGGGGGGUAAGUCAGGACCUAAGGCGAGGCUGAAAAGCGUAGUCGAUGGACAAUGGGUUAAUAUUCCUAUACUAUUUUUUAUUGACAACGAGGGACGAAGACAGCUAGACUAGCCAAAUAUUGGUUAUUGGUUUAAGUAUACGAGGUGUUGAGAAGUAGAGAAAAUACUUUGAGCUGAGUUAUGAAUACGGAAUAAUGUGUGCAUUAUCUGAAGUAGUUGAUGUUAUGCUUCCAAGAAAAGCUUGCACUGUCAUAAAUAAAAAAUACCUGUACUCUAAACCGACACAGGUGGGUUGGUAGAGUAUACCAAAGGGCGCGAGAUAACUCUCUCUAAGGAACUCGGCAAAAUAACCCUGUAACUUCGGGAGAAGGGGUACCUAUUAGGUUGCAAUAACAAGGUCCAAGCGACUGUUUACCAAAAACACAGGUCUCCGCUAAGUUGUAAGACAACGUAUGGGGGCUGACGCCUGCCCAGUGCCGGAAGGUUAAAGAAGUUGGUUAGUUAUUAACGACGCUAAUGACUGAAGCCCCGGUGAACGGCGGCCGUAACUAUAACGGUCCUAAGGUAGCGAAAUUCCUUGUCGGGUAAGUUCCGACCCGCACGAAAGGCGUAACGAUUUGGACACUGUCUCAGAGAGAGACUCGGUGAAAUAGACUUGUCUGUGAAGAUGCGGACUACCUGCACCAGGACAGAAAGACCCUAUGAAGCUUUACUGUAACUUGAAAUUGGUUUCGGGUUUUAUUUGCGCAGCAUAGGUGGGAGGCUUUGAUGUUAAUCUUACGGGGUUAAUGGAGCCAUCAGUGAGAUACCACUCUAAUAAAACUAGAAUUCUAACCCUAUAUCGUUAGCCGGUUAGGGGACAUUUUCAGGCGGGCAGUUUGACUGGGGCGGUCGCCUCCUAAAAGGUAACGGAGGCGUACAAAGGUUUCCUCAGAUCGGUCAGAAAUCGAUCGUAGAGUGCAAAGGCAAAAGGAAGCUUGACUGUGAGACCUACAAGUCGAACAGAGACGAAAGUCGGUCUUAGUGAUCUGGCGAUAUUGAGUGGAAAAGUCGUCACUCAACGGAUAAAAGUUACUCUAGGGAUAACAGGCUGAUCUCCCCCAAGAGUUCACAUCGACGGGGAGGUUUGGCACCUCGAUGUCGGCUCAUCGCAUCCUGGGGCGGUAGUACGUCCCAAGGGUUGGGCUGUUCGCCCAUGAAAGCGGUACGUGAGCUGGGUUCAGAACGUCGUGAGACAGUUCGGUCCAUAUCCGGUGUAGGCGUUAGAGUAUUGAGAGGAUUCUUCUUUAGUACGAGAGGACCGAGAAGAACAUACCGCUGGUGUACCAGUUAUCAUACCAAUGGUAAACGCUGGGUAGCUACGUAUGGAAAGGAUAACCGCUGAAAGCAUCUAAGUGGGAAGCCCACCUCAAGAUGAGUACUCUUAUUGUGAAAACAAGUAAGAUCACGGCAAGACUAGCCGGUAACAUACUAUUCUUUCGAGUAUAGUUGUAAGAUAGGCAUCAAGUGGAAGUAUAGUAAUAUAUUAAGCUGAGAUGUACUAAUAGAUCGAGGACUUGAACUU